GCUCCCCAGCGCUUUCUAGCUAAUAUGAAAGUGCGGCNUACAGCUCAGUAACACGUGGCUAACCUGCCCUUGGGACGGAGACAACCCCGGGAAACUGGGGUUAAUUUCCGAUAGGUGAAAAAUUCUGGAAUGAAUUUUCGCCCAAAAGACAUCUAUGUUAUGCUCAUAUUUGUUGCCCAGGGAUGGGGCCGCGACCGAUCAGGUUGUUGGUGAGGUAAUGGCUCACCAAGCCUUUUACCGGUACGGGCCGUGAGAGCGGGAGCCCGGAGAUGGGCACUGAGACAAGGGCCCAGGCCCUACGGGGCGCAGCAGUCGCGAAAACUUUGCAAUACACGAAAGUGUGACAAGGCUAUCCCGAGUGCCAUCCGCUGAGGAAGGCUUUUACCCAGUAUAAAUAGCUGGGAGAAUAAGGAGAGGGCAAGUCUGGUGUCAGCCGCCGCGGUAAUACCAGCUCUCCGAGUAGUGUGGAUGUUUAUUGGGCCUAAAGCAUCCGUAGCUUGCUAAGCAAGUCCCCUGUUAAUCCACCGAUUCAAUCGUUGGAUUGCGGGGGAUACUGUUUGGCUAGGGGACGGGANAGGCCGACGGUNUUCCGGGGUAGGGGUG
RNAcentral lists this ribosomal RNA (603 nucleotides) under uncultured euryarchaeote. Its description in RNAcentral is "bacterial SSU rRNA". It matches the Rfam family "Archaeal small subunit ribosomal RNA", at positions 53 to 634 of the family's 1478-position model. Lineage: Archaea; Methanobacteriati; Methanobacteriota. The record is from RNAcentral.